AUGCAAGGGCUGGUGCGAUGGC
Molecule: microRNA, 22 nt
Filed under: Mus musculus (house mouse)
Lineage: Eukaryota; Metazoa; Chordata; Mammalia; Rodentia; Muridae
Description: mmu-miR-1931
Source: miRBase by way of RNAcentral